GUGGGGAAUAUUGGGCAAUGGGCGAAAGCCUGACCCAGCAACGCCGCGUGAAGGAAGAAGGCUCUCGGGUUGUAAACUUCUUUUAAGAGGGACGAAUAAAGUGACGGUACCUCUUGAAUAAGCCACGGCUAACUACGUGCCAGCAGCCGCGGUAAUACGUAGGUGGCAAGCGUUAUCCGGAUUUACUGGGUGUAAAGGGCGUGUAGGCGGGAUGGUAAGUCAGAUGUGAAAACUAUGGGCUCAACCCAUAGCCUGCAUUUGAAACUAUCGUUCUUGAGUGUUGGAGAGGCAGGCGGAAUUCCGUGUGUAGCGGUGAAAUGCGUAGAUAUUAGGAGGAACACCAGUGGCGAAGGCGGCUUACUGGACUGUAACUGACGUUGAGGCUCGAAAGCGUGGGGAGCAAACAGG
RNAcentral lists this ribosomal RNA (408 nucleotides) under uncultured bacterium. Its description in RNAcentral is "bacterial SSU rRNA". It matches the Rfam family "Bacterial small subunit ribosomal RNA", at positions 354 to 776 of the family's 1533-position model. The record is from RNAcentral.